RNAcentral lists this ribosomal RNA (397 nucleotides) under uncultured bacterium. RNAcentral describes it as "partial 16S ribosomal RNA". It matches the Rfam family "Bacterial small subunit ribosomal RNA", at positions 523 to 918 of the family's 1533-position model. The record is from RNAcentral.
AUACGUAGGGGGCGAGCGUUGUCCGGAAUGAUUGGGCGUAAAGGGCGCGUAGGCGGCCCGGUAAGUCUGGAGUGAAAGUCCUGUUUUUAAGAUGGGAAUUGCUUUGGAUACUGUCGGGCUUGAGUGCAGGAGAGGUAAGUGGAAUUCCCAGUGUAGCGGUGAAAUGCGUAGAGAUUGGGAGGAACACCAGUGGCGAAGGCGACUUACUGGACUGUAACUGACGCUGAGGCGCGAAAGUGUGGGGAGCAAACAGGAUUAGAUACCCUGGUAGUCCACACUGUAAACGAUGAAUGCUAGGUGUAGGGGGUAUCGACCCCUUCUGUGCCGCAGUUAACACAAUAAGUAUUCCGCCUGGGGAGUACGGCCGCAAGGUUGAAACUCAAAUGAAUUGGCGGGG